GCCUUCGUGGUAUAGUGGUCAACACACUCGGCGCAUAUUCUAGAGGGUCGAGGUUCGAGUCCCGACGAGGGCA
Molecule: transfer RNA, 73 nt
Filed under: Stegodyphus mimosarum
Lineage: Eukaryota; Metazoa; Arthropoda; Arachnida; Araneae; Eresidae
Rfam family: tRNA
About the family: Transfer RNA (tRNA) molecules are approximately 80 nucleotides in length. Their secondary structure includes four short double-helical elements and three loops (D, anti-codon, and T loops).
Source: Rfam by way of RNAcentral